This 373-nucleotide ribosomal RNA is filed under the name uncultured bacterium. RNAcentral describes it as "bacterial SSU rRNA". It matches the Rfam family "Bacterial small subunit ribosomal RNA", at positions 525 to 896 of the family's 1533-position model. The record is from RNAcentral.
ACGGAGGGUGCGAGCGUUGUCCGGAAUCAUUGGGCGUAAAGGGCGCGUAGGUGGCCUGGUCAGUUCGUGGUGAAAGCGCGGGGCUCAACCCCGCGUCGGCCAUGAAUACUGCGAGGCUGGAGCACUGUAGAGGCAGGCGGAAUUCCGGGUGUAGCGGUGGAAUGCGUAGAGAUCCGGAAGAACACCGGUGGCGAAGGCGGCCUGCUGGGCAGUUGCUGACACUGAGGCGCGACAGCGUGGGGAGCAAACAGGAUUAGAUACCCUGGUAGUCCACGCCGUAAACGAUGGGCACUAGGCGCUUGGGGGAGCGACCCCCCGAGGGCCGUAGCUAACGCAUUAAGUGCCCCGCCUGGGGAGUACGGCCGCAAGGCUG